AGCGAACGUUAGCGGCGGGCCUAACACAUGCAAGUCGAACGCGAAAGGUCUUCGGACUGAGUAGAGUGGCGCACGGGUGAGUAACACGUAGGUAAUCUACCCUUUGGCGGGGGAUAACGUUCCGAAAGGAGCGCUAAUACCGCAUAAGACCACGGAGUCUCCGGACGCUGUGGGAAAAGGUGGCCUCUUCUUGAAAGCUACCACCGAAGGAUGAGCCUGCGUCCCAUCAGCUAGUUGGUAAGGUAAUGGCUUACCAAGGCGAAGACGGGUAGCUGGUUUGAGAGAAUGAUCAGCCACACUGGCACUGGAACACGGGCCAGACUCCUACGGGAGGCAGCAGUGAGGAAUAUUGGGCAAUGGGCGAAAGCCUGACCCAGCCACGCCGCGUGAGUGAUGAAGGCCCUCGGGUCGUAAAGCUCUGUGGAGAGGGACGAAAACCCUAGGUUUCAAAUAGGCUCCAGGCUUGACGGUACCUCUUUAGCAAGCACCGGCUAACUCUGUGCCAG
RNAcentral lists this ribosomal RNA (506 nucleotides) under uncultured bacterium. Its description in RNAcentral is "bacterial SSU rRNA". It matches the Rfam family "Bacterial small subunit ribosomal RNA", at positions 29 to 511 of the family's 1533-position model. The record is from RNAcentral.